AACGAACGCUGGCGGCAUGCCUAACACAUGCAAGUCGAACGAGACCUUCGGGUCUAGUGGCGCACGGGUGCGUAACGCGUGGGAACCUGCCCUUAGGUUCGGAAUAACUCCCCGAAAGGGGUGCUAAUACCGGAUAAUGUCUUCGGACCAAAGAUUUAUCGCCUUUGGAUGGGCCCGCGUUGGAUUAGCUAGUUGGUAGGGUAAAAGCCUACCAAGCCGACGAUCCAUAGCUGGUCUGAGAGGAUGAUCAGCCACACUGGGAAUGAGACACGGCCCAGACUCCUACGGGAGGCAGCAGUGGGGAAUAUUGGACAAUGGGCGAAAGCCUGAUCCAGCAAUGCCGCGUGAGUGAUGAAGGCCUUAGGGUUGUAAAGCUCUUUUACCCGGGAUGAUAAUGACAGUACCGGGAGAAUAAGCUCCGGCUAACUCCGUG
RNAcentral lists this ribosomal RNA (433 nucleotides) under uncultured bacterium. Its description in RNAcentral is "partial 16S ribosomal RNA". It matches the Rfam family "Bacterial small subunit ribosomal RNA", at positions 29 to 507 of the family's 1533-position model. The record is from RNAcentral.